UACAGAGGUGGCAAGCGUUGUUCGGAUUUACUGGGCGUAAAGGGUGCGUAGGCGGUUCUGUGUGUCGGGUGUGAAAUCCCACGGAUUAUCCGUGGAACGGCAUUCGAAACUACAGGGCUAGAGUGCGGGAGAGGAAGGUAGAAUUCUCGGUGUAGCGGUGAAAUGCGUUGAUAUCGAGAGGAAUGCCGGUGGUGAAGACGACCUUCUGGAACGCAACUGACGCUGAGGCACGAAAGCUAGGGGAGCAAACAGG
This 253-nucleotide ribosomal RNA is filed under the name uncultured bacterium. Its description in RNAcentral is "partial 16S ribosomal RNA". It matches the Rfam family "Bacterial small subunit ribosomal RNA", at positions 524 to 776 of the family's 1533-position model. The record is from RNAcentral.